GAUGAACGACUGGCGGCGUGCCUAACACAUGCAAGUCGAGCGGUAUAUAGUGGAAUGAAACUUCGGUCGAGUGAAGCUAUAGAGAGCGGCGGACGGGUGAGUAACGCGUAGGCAACCUGCCCCAUACAGAGGGAUAGCCUCGGGAAACCGGGAUUAAAACCUCAUAACGCGAGGAGUUCACAUGGACUUCUCGCCAAAGAUUCAUCGGUAUGGGAUGGGCCUGCGUCUGAUUAGCUAGUUGGUGAGGUAACGGCUCACCAAGGCGACGAUCAGUAGCCGACCUGAGAGGGUAAUCGGCCACAUUGGAACUGAGACACGGUCCAAACUCCUACGGGAGGCAGCAGUGGGGAAUAUUGCACAAUGGGCGAAAGCCUGAUGCAGCAACGCCGCGUGAGCGAUGAAGGCCUUUGGGUCGUAAAGCUCUUUCGGACCGGAAGAAAUCGCCGCCUCUAACAUAGGCGGUGGAUGACGGU
This 473-nucleotide ribosomal RNA is filed under the name uncultured bacterium. RNAcentral describes it as "bacterial SSU rRNA". It matches the Rfam family "Bacterial small subunit ribosomal RNA", at positions 36 to 481 of the family's 1533-position model. The record is from RNAcentral.